UACGGGGGGAGCAAGCGUUGUUCGGAUUUACUGGGCGUAAAGGGCGCGUAGGCGGCCACCGCAAGUCGACUGUGAAAUCUCCGGGCUUAACCCGGAAAGGUCAGCCGAUACUGCGGGGCUAGAGUGCAGAAGGGGCAACUGGAAUUCUCGGUGUAGCGGUGAAAUGCGUAGAUAUCGAGAGGAACACCUGCGGCGAAGGCGAGUCUCUGGGCUGUAUCUGACGCUGAUGCGCGAAAGCUAGGGGAGCAAACGGG
This 254-nucleotide ribosomal RNA is filed under the name uncultured prokaryote. Its description in RNAcentral is "partial 16S ribosomal RNA". It matches the Rfam family "Bacterial small subunit ribosomal RNA", at positions 524 to 776 of the family's 1533-position model. The record is from RNAcentral.